Molecule: small nuclear RNA, 109 nt
Organism: Cavia aperea (Brazilian guinea pig)
Lineage: Eukaryota; Metazoa; Chordata; Mammalia; Rodentia; Caviidae
Source: Ensembl
GUGUUCACUUUAGCAGCACAUACACUAAAAAUGGGAAUGAUACAGAGAGGAUUAGCAUGGCCCCUUGCGUAAUGAUGAUAUGCAAAUUUAUGAAGCGCCCCAUAUUUAA